RNAcentral lists this ribosomal RNA (733 nucleotides) under uncultured bacterium. RNAcentral's name for it is "bacterial SSU rRNA". It matches the Rfam family "Bacterial small subunit ribosomal RNA", at positions 38 to 770 of the family's 1533-position model. The record is from RNAcentral.
GGCGGCGUGCUUAACACAUGCAAGUCGAACGAAGCACUUUAUUUGAUUUCCUUCGGGACUGAUUAUUUUGUGACUGAGUGGCGGACGGGUGAGUAACGCGUGGGUAACCUGCCUUGUACAGGGGGAUAACAGUUGGAAACGGCUGCUAAUACCGCAUAAGCGCACGGCAUAGCAUGAUGCAGUGUGAAAAACUCCGGUGGUAUAAGAUGGACCCGCGUUGGAUUAGCUAGUUGGUGAGGUAACGGCCCACCAAGGCGACGAUCCAUAGCCGACCUGAGAGGGUGACCGGCCACAUUGGGACUGAGACACGGCCCAAACUCCUACGGGAGGCAGCAGUGGGGAAUAUUGCACAAUGGGCGAAAGCCUGAUGCAGCGACGCCGCGUGAGCGAAGAAGUAUUUCGGUAUGUAAAGCUCUAUCAGCAGGGAAGAAAAUGACGGUACCUGACUAAGAAGCCCCGGCUAACUACGUGCCAGCAGCCGCGGUAAUACGUAGGGGCAAGCGUUAUCCGGAUUUACUGGGUGUAAAGGGAGCGUAGACGGAGCAGCAAGUCUGAUGUGAAAACCCGGGGCUCAACCCCGGGACUGCAUUGGAAACUGUUGAUCUGGAGUGCCGGAGAGGUAAGCGGAAUUCCUAGUGUAGCGGUGAAAUGCGUAGAUAUUAGGAGGAACACCAGUGGCGAAGGCGGCUUACUGGACGGUAACUGACGUUGAGGCUCGAGAGCGUGGGGAGCC